This 253-nucleotide ribosomal RNA is filed under the name uncultured bacterium. RNAcentral's name for it is "partial 16S ribosomal RNA". It matches the Rfam family "Bacterial small subunit ribosomal RNA", at positions 524 to 776 of the family's 1533-position model. The record is from RNAcentral.
UACGUAGGGUGCAAGCGUUGUCCGGAAUUAUUGGGCGUAAAGAGCUCGUAGGCGGUCUGUCGCGUCUGCUGUGAAAACUCGGGGCUUAACCCCGGGCCUGCAGUGGGUACGGGCAGACUAGAGUGCGGUAGGGGAGACUGGAAUUCCUGGUGUAGCGGUGGAAUGCGCAGAUAUCAGGAGGAACACCGGUGGCGAAGGCGGUUCUCUGGGAAUUACCUGACGCUGAGGAGCGAAAGCAUGGGGAGCGAACAGG